CCUGAUGCAGCCAUGCCGCGUGUGUGAAGAAGGCCUUCGGGUUGUAAAGCACUUUCAGUUGUGAGGAAAAGUUAGUAGUUAAUACCUGCUAGCCGUGACGUUAACAACAGAAGAAGCACCGGCUAACUCCGUGCCAGCAGCCGCGGUAAUACGGAGGGUGCGAGCGUUAAUCGGAAUUACUGGGCGUAAAGCGCACGCAGGCGGUUUGUUAAGCUAGAUGUGAAAGCCCCGGGCUCAACCUGGGAUGGUCAUUUAGAACUGGCAGACUAGAGUCUUGGAGAGGGGAGUGGAAUUCCAGGUGUAGCGGUGAAAUGCGUAGAUAUCUGGAGGAACAUCAGUGGCGAAGGCGACUCCCUGGCCAAAGACUGACGCUCAUGUGCGAAAGUGUGGGUAGCGAACAGGAUUAGAUACCCUGGUAGUCCACACCGUAAACGCUGUCUACUAGCUGUGUGUGUCUUUAAGACGUGCGUAGCGAAGCUAACGCGCUAAGUAGACCGCCUGGG
This 503-nucleotide ribosomal RNA is filed under the name Alteromonas sp. QPM_3_108. RNAcentral describes it as "bacterial SSU rRNA". It matches the Rfam family "Bacterial small subunit ribosomal RNA", at positions 382 to 877 of the family's 1533-position model. Lineage: Bacteria; Pseudomonadati; Pseudomonadota; Gammaproteobacteria; Alteromonadales; Alteromonadaceae. The record is from RNAcentral.